Long non-coding RNA from Priapulus caudatus, 276 nucleotides. RefSeq lists it as uncharacterized. The transcript has 3 exons. The record is from RefSeq and is a predicted model, not a curated record. Lineage: Eukaryota; Metazoa; Priapulida; Priapulimorpha; Priapulimorphida; Priapulidae.
GAGAUGUAGGAGUCGGGGGUCUGGUUGUGUUCGCGAGAGGAAGCACACGCGCUUACGCGCGUGUGCGCGUUCUUUGUUUCUUUGUGCAAGAUGGACACACUGUGUCCAAGAUAAUGCUCUACCAAAUGCAAUCGCGACCGUUUAAUGACUUGGUGAGAUCUCCGCAUGUCUACUUGGUGAAGUCCUUAUCACUGCUAUUCAUCCUGUCAAAGAUAUACCACGAUGCGCCUGCGAUCAUAUUGGAUGUUUUAUCGGGAAUGCGUGGAAAACCAACGA